GAGAUUCGUCCGGCAGUCGCCCUUCUUCUGAGGGGAGGAAAGUCCGGACUCCUGCAUGCGAAACGCCGCGGGAAACCGCGGGACGCCACAAGCGGACGGAUAGCGCCACAGAAAAUUACCGCCGGGCAACCGGUAAGGGUGAAAAGGCGGUGUAAGAGACCACCGCCGGGAGCGGCAACGCACCGGGCAUAGGCAAGCCCCGUUUGGAGCAAGAUCGUAUAGGGUACGCGGAGGCAACUCCGGGAACGCAUGUCUUCCCUGUCGUGCCGGGUAGAUCGCGUCAGUUGAAUGACUGCCUGCGUCGCAAGACGUAACAGAAUCCGGCUUAUGGGCGGAUCUCCUUU
Molecule: RNase P RNA, 344 nt
Filed under: bacterium
Lineage: Bacteria
Description: RNase P RNA component class A
Rfam family: Bacterial RNase P class A
About the family: Ribonuclease P (RNase P) is a ubiquitous endoribonuclease, found in archaea, bacteria and eukarya as well as chloroplasts and mitochondria. Its best characterised activity is the generation of mature 5'-ends of tRNAs by cleaving the 5'-leader elements of precursor-tRNAs. Cellular RNase Ps are ribonucleoproteins.
Source: RNAcentral